This 466-nucleotide ribosomal RNA is filed under the name uncultured bacterium. RNAcentral's name for it is "partial 16S ribosomal RNA". It matches the Rfam family "Bacterial small subunit ribosomal RNA", at positions 28 to 507 of the family's 1533-position model. The record is from RNAcentral.
GACGAACGCUGGCGGUGUGCUUAACACAUGCAAGUCGAACGGUAAGGCCCUUUCGGGGGUCCACGAGUGGCGAACGGGUGAGUAACACGUGAGUAACCUGCCCUCAUCUCUGGGAUAACAGUCGGAAACGGUUGCUAAUACUGGAUAUGAGCUUGCAAGGCAUCUUGUGGGUUGGAAAGAUUUUUUUGGUUGGGGAUGGACUCGCGGCCUAUCAGCUUGUUGGUGAGGUAGUGGCUCACCAAGGCUUCGACGGGUAGCCGGCCUGAGAGGGCGACCGGCCACAUUGGGACUGAGAUACGGCCCAAACCCCUACGGGAGGCAGCAGUGGGGAAUAUUGCACAAUGGACGGAAGUCUGAUGCAGCAACGCCGCGUGCGGGAUGACGGCCUUCGGGUUGUAAACCGCUUUCAAUUGUGACGAAGCUUUUUGUGACGGUAGCAGUAGAAGAAGCACCGGCUAACUACGUG